This is a long non-coding RNA of Branchiostoma belcheri (Belcher's lancelet), 882 nucleotides long. RefSeq lists it as uncharacterized. The transcript is spliced from 5 exons. The record is from RefSeq and is a predicted model, not a curated record. Lineage: Eukaryota; Metazoa; Chordata; Leptocardii; Amphioxiformes; Branchiostomatidae.
CACCUGACGGCAGUCUAUGCUAUCAACUCUCUGUUCUGGAUUUACCUAACCACACAAGGCAUUGACCCCAAGGACCACCCAAUCAAGAGUGAACUGGACAGAAUACGCAGCUACAUGAACCGUGUCAAGGAGAUAGAGGACAAGAGGAAAGCUGCUAAAGUGGACAAGGCUGCUGCUAAGAGAAUUGUGAAGAAUGCUCUCUGGGAGCCAUCCAAGCAGGCAGCAGGGUCACAGGUCAAGCAAACAUCAGAGAAGAGGAAACAAGAUGACAGAGUUGGACCUCAGGCUAAGAAGAAAAAGGAGUGAGCACAAACAAAGACUGACAUGAACAUGAAAUAAGACAGAAGAUGGAAGGCUGGUGCAACUGAGACUCUCAGUUCAGUGUGAGGUGGUCCAUGAGCCUCCAACCAUAAAGUACUCUCCAAGCAGACGUUUGGGUUUGGGGUUAUUUUUGGUGUGUUUUAGGCUUUUUUAUCAGGUUUCUCUUUUGCACUGGAAUUUUUUUAAUCACCCAACCCAACCAAACACGCCAAAAAUAACCCCAAACCCAAACCUCUGCUUGGAGAGUAACCAUAAAGCACAAAAGAGUGAGGACAGAGAUUUCCAGUGCAGUCUUACUUUUUAAUACGCCCGGGAAUCAAUACAGCAUGUAUAUUUUUACAAUUCCAUCCAUGUAUUAACAUUACUAGUAUUACGCUACCAAUUUUUCCACUGAUUACUAUAGUGUUGGAAGUUCUAGGAACCACACAUUUGCAUGGAGAUAACCUACAAUCACAGGCAACAAUGUUCAUAUCAUGUCUAAUUAUGUAUGUUGUAUUACAGUAUUUAUGGCAUCUAAUUAAACCAUUUUCAAAAAGUUUAUUAAAGACUAGUAUUAUUUCA